GGCGAUCAGAUACCGCCCUAGUUCUGACCGUAAACGAUGCCAACUAGCGAUCCGCCAGUCGACUCAUCGCUCUGGUGGGGAGCUUCCCGGAAACGAAAGUCUUCCGGUUCCGGGGGAAGUAUGGUUGCAAAGCUGAAACUUAAAGGAAUUGACGGAAGGGCACCACCAGGAGUGGAGCCUGCGGCUUAAUUUGACUCAACACGGGGAAACUCACCCGGCCCGGACACCGUAAGGAUUGACAGAUUGAUAGCUUUUUCAUGAUUCGGUGGAUGGUGGUGCAUGGCCGUUCUUAGUUCGUGGAGCGAUUUGUCUGGUUUAUUCCGAUAAUGAGCGAGACUCUGGCCUACUAAAUAGUUGACGCAUUGCCACUGUGCGCACAACUUCUUAGAGGGAUUUUCGGUGUUUUCAACCGCACGAAAUUGAGCAAUAACAGGUCUGUGAUGCCCUUAGAUGUCCGGGGCUGCACGCGCGCUACACUGGCAAACGCAACGUGCCUGUCCUGCCCCGAAAGGAGCGGGUAAACCCCUGAAAUUUUGCCGUGAUUGGGAUCGGACAUUGCAACUAUUGUCCGUGAACGAGGAAUUCCUUGUAGGGGCGAGUCAUCAACUCGUCCCGAAUACGUCCCUGCCCUUGUA
This 635-nucleotide ribosomal RNA is filed under the name Rotylenchulus reniformis. RNAcentral describes it as "SSU rRNA". It matches the Rfam family "Eukaryotic small subunit ribosomal RNA", at positions 1003 to 1664 of the family's 1831-position model. The record is from RNAcentral. Lineage: Eukaryota; Metazoa; Nematoda; Chromadorea; Rhabditida; Hoplolaimidae.